UUGCCAGACUCCUACGGGAGGCAGCAGUGAGGAAUAUUGGUCAAUGGGCGCAGGCCUGAACCAGCCAAGUCGCGUGAGGGAAGACUGCCCUAUGGGUUGUAAACCUCUUUUAUAAGGGAAGAAUAAUGACUACGUGUAGUCAGAUGCCCGUACCUUAUGAAUAAGCAUCGGCUAACUCCGUGCCAGCAGCCGCGGUAAUACGGAGGGUGCGAGCGUUAAUCGGAAUUACUGGGCGUAAAGCGCUCGUAGGCGGUAUGUCAAGUCAAGGGUGAAAUCCCCGCGCUCAACGUGGGAACUGCCUUUGAAACUGGCAAACUGGAGUGUGUGAGAGGAUAGUGGAAUUCCAGGUGUAGGAGUGAAAUCCGUAGAUAUCUGGAGGAACAUCAGUGGCGAAGGCGACUAUCUGGCACAUAACUGACGCUGAGGAGCGAAAGCGUGGGUAGCAAACAGGAUUAGAUACCCGAGUA
RNAcentral lists this ribosomal RNA (467 nucleotides) under uncultured bacterium. RNAcentral describes it as "partial 16S ribosomal RNA". It matches the Rfam family "Bacterial small subunit ribosomal RNA", at positions 328 to 792 of the family's 1533-position model. The record is from RNAcentral.